UACGAAGGGGGCUAGCGUUGUUCGGAAUUACUGGGCGUAAAGCGCACGUAGGCGGACAUUUAAGUCAGGGGUGAAAUCCCAGAGCUCAACUCUGGAACUGCCUUUGAUACUGGGUGUCUGGAGUAUGGAAGAGGUGAGUGGAAUUCCGAGUGUAGAGGUGAAAUUCGUAGAUAUUCGCAAGAACACCAGUGGCGAAGGCGGCUCACUGGCCCGAUACUGACGCUGAGGUGCGAAAGCGUGGGGAGCAAACAGG
Molecule: ribosomal RNA, 253 nt
Filed under: uncultured bacterium
Lineage: Bacteria
Description: partial 16S ribosomal RNA
Rfam family: Bacterial small subunit ribosomal RNA
Source: RNAcentral